UACGUAGGUGGCAAGCGUUAUCCGGAUUUACUGGGUGUAAAGGGCGUGUAGGCGGGACUGCAAGUCAGAUGUGAAAACUAUGGGCUCAACCCAUAGCCUGCAUUUGAAACUGUAGUUCUUGAGUGUUGGAGAGGCAAGCGGAAUUCCGUGUGUAGCGGUGAAAUGCAUAGAUAUACGGAGGAACACCAGUGGCGAAGGCGGAUUGCUGGACAGCAACUGACGCUGAGGCGCGAAAGCAUGGGUAGCGAACAGG
RNAcentral lists this ribosomal RNA (253 nucleotides) under uncultured bacterium. Its description in RNAcentral is "partial 16S ribosomal RNA". It matches the Rfam family "Bacterial small subunit ribosomal RNA", at positions 524 to 776 of the family's 1533-position model. The record is from RNAcentral.